This 253-nucleotide ribosomal RNA is filed under the name uncultured bacterium. RNAcentral's name for it is "partial 16S ribosomal RNA". It matches the Rfam family "Bacterial small subunit ribosomal RNA", at positions 524 to 776 of the family's 1533-position model. The record is from RNAcentral.
UACAGGGGGUGCAAACGUUGCUCGGAAUUAUUGGGCGUAAAGCGCGCGUAGGCGGCCACUUAAGUCGGAUGUGAAAGCCCCUGGCUCAACUGGGGAAGUGCACCCGAAACUGAAUGGCUUGAGUGCGAAAGAGGGUCGCGGAAUUCCCGGUGUAGAGGUGAAAUUCGUAGAUAUCGGGAGGAACACCGGUGGCGAAGGCGGCGACCUGGGUCGACACUGACGCUGAGGCGCGAAAGCGUGGGGAGCGAACAGG